This 72-nucleotide transfer RNA is filed under the name Bos taurus (domestic cattle). It matches the Rfam family "tRNA". From Rfam's summary of the family: Transfer RNA (tRNA) molecules are approximately 80 nucleotides in length. Their secondary structure includes four short double-helical elements and three loops (D, anti-codon, and T loops). Lineage: Eukaryota; Metazoa; Chordata; Mammalia; Artiodactyla; Bovidae. RNAcentral also lists the same sequence under 3 other names. The record is from Rfam by way of RNAcentral.
CCCUGGCUGUCCAGUGGUUAGAACUCUCCACUCCCAAUGCAGGGGAGCCGGGGUUCAAUCCCUGGUCAGGGA